AACGAACGCUGGCGGCAUGCCUAACACAUGCAAGUCGAACGAGACCUUCGGGUCUAGUGGCGCACGGGUGCGUAACGCGUGGGAACCUGCCCUUAGGUUCGGAAUAACUCCCCGAAAGGGGUGCUAAUACCGGAUAAUGUCUUCGGACCAAAGAUUUAUCGCCUUUGGAUGGGCCCGCGUUGGAUUAGCUAGUUGGUAGGGUAAAAGCCUACCAAGGCGACGAUCCAUAGCUGGUCUGAGAGGAUGAUCAGCCACACUGGGACUGAGACACGGCCCAGACUCCUACGGGAGGCAGCAGUGGGGAAUAUUGGACAAUGGGCGAAAGCCUGAUCCAGCAAUGCCGCGUGAGUGAUCAAGGCCUUAGGGUUGUAAAGCUCUUUUACCCGGGAUGAUAAUGACAGUACCGGGAGAAUAAGCUCCGGCUAACUCCGUG
RNAcentral lists this ribosomal RNA (433 nucleotides) under uncultured bacterium. Its description in RNAcentral is "partial 16S ribosomal RNA". It matches the Rfam family "Bacterial small subunit ribosomal RNA", at positions 29 to 507 of the family's 1533-position model. The record is from RNAcentral.